Molecule: long non-coding RNA, 1587 nt
Organism: Diospyros lotus (date-plum)
Lineage: Eukaryota; Viridiplantae; Streptophyta; Magnoliopsida; Ericales; Ebenaceae
Exons: 2
Source: RefSeq, a predicted model, not a curated record
CGCUGCCUCCAGCUCGAUCGGACUCCGCCUUCGCCGCUGCCAGAUCCGCCUCUGGUCGUCGCUGCUACGUCCGUCGUCGCCGCUGCCUCCGCCUCUGGUCGCCGCAGCAGCAGCCGCCUCCAGCUCGAUCGGGCUUCGCCUCCGUCGCUUCCAGAUCCGCCUCCGCCUUCAUCGCUGCCAGAUCCGCCUCAAAGGUAUAUAUAUUGUGUGUAUAUGUAUUCUGUGUGUAUGUAUAUUCUGUGUGUGUAUAUAUUUUGUGUGUGUAUAUGUUAACAGUUGGACUUUGAGUUGUAUGUGGUUCAGUUUUUUAAUACACAAAUUUUACUACAAAUAUUAUAAAUAAAAGUAAUAACAUCUCAAAUAUAUAUAAUCGCUAUCAAAAUUGUCCCAGACAUCUAUACUUAGUUUAGUUUCAGCAAUGGUGUGCAUAUCGUAUGGCCAUAAAUCCACAAAAUGGUAGUUUUCUUGAGUUUUCAGCAAUGGUGUGCAUAUCAUAUAUAUGCCUUUGUCAAUUAAAAAAUUUACUUGAAAGAAAGAUGUUUUAAAGAGUAUAUCCAUAGAUUAUUUAAGGGUAACACCGUCACAAAAUUGUGACAUGGCUUUAGAAGUGGGAGAAUCAAAUUGGUGUGUUCUCCCUUUCUCCAAACCUGCCAGUUAAAUCUUUUGAGUUUCUAUCAGUUAAAAUCUUUUUAAUUAAUAUCAACCGCAAGACUUCACCAAUUUUCCAAACCUAGAAUUGAAUAAUUUACAAUCCUUGGACUUAUUACUGUUUUCAUGCCCAACUGCUUUCAUUUUGUUGUAUUUCCUGUAUGCUAAACAGUACUUAUAAUCCUUGGGUGGGUUAUUUGUUAUAAAUACAUUCAAUAUUUUAUUUCCUAUCUAAUACAUAGAGCAUUUUCUCAAGUAUAUUGAUGUUAGCAAGGAAGUAGGUACAUUAGUAAUCCUUCCAGAUAAAACUAUUGAGCACAGCUACAAAAGGUAUCAACAUUUGCUUGCUUUGGGCGGUUUAGUUGCUUGCAACAUGGGUUGCCUGUUUUUGUUUUUGUUUUUGCUUUUUUUCCCAACUGAAAUCACUUGCAGCAGAAUUGGGCGUGGAAGUUGAUGUUUUCUCUAGAUGAAUGUUGCAUUUUUGCUAUAGUUUUGGUGUACUCUGUUGGAGAUUCUGCAGAAGGUUCUUGGAAAAUAUUUCCCCUGGGUUGCUGAGUUGUUAGUUGGCUAACUUUCAAACGCUACAAUAGGAGGCAUCAUCACACCAUUGAAGGUAAGUUGCCAUUAUCGUCGAGCUCAUUGGUAGAAUAGAUACAAGAAGCUAUUAAGACAGCUAUGAAAUCCUUUCACAAUCACUUGUCAACCAUUCAAGGUAGAUUGCCUCUCCCGCCGUCGUCUUCAUCAUCACCACCCUUAGAUCUUUCGGAUUAUUAAGAGGAUUCGUUAUUUGUAUGGAUGAUAGAAUUUAUUAUGUAUUUUACUAUUUAUGAAUGUGUAAUUAGUAUAGAUAGAUUUUACAAUGUAUUUUUAAUAUUUAUGGAUGAUGUGUAUUACUUUAUGGAUUUAUUGUAUUGUAUGAAUGAUUUUUUUUAGUUCGUA